UACGUAGGGGGCGAGCGUUGUCCGGAUUUAUUGGGCGUAAAGAGCUCGUAGGCGGCUUAGCAAGUCGGGUGUGAAACCUCCAGGCUUAACCUGGAGACGCCACUCGAUACUGCUAUGGCUAGAGUCCGGUAGGGGACCACGGAAUUCCUGGUGUAGCGGUGAAAUGCGCAGAUAUCAGGAGGAACACCGGUGGCGAAGGCGGUGGUCUGGGCCGGCACUGACGCUGAGGAGCGAAAGCGUGGGUAGCAAACAGG
This 254-nucleotide ribosomal RNA is filed under the name uncultured bacterium. RNAcentral describes it as "partial 16S ribosomal RNA". It matches the Rfam family "Bacterial small subunit ribosomal RNA", at positions 524 to 776 of the family's 1533-position model. The record is from RNAcentral.